RNAcentral lists this transfer RNA (71 nucleotides) under Loxodonta africana (African savanna elephant). It matches the Rfam family "tRNA". Rfam says of the family: Transfer RNA (tRNA) molecules are approximately 80 nucleotides in length. Their secondary structure includes four short double-helical elements and three loops (D, anti-codon, and T loops). The record is from Rfam by way of RNAcentral. Lineage: Eukaryota; Metazoa; Chordata; Mammalia; Proboscidea; Elephantidae.
GCACUGGUAGUUCAGUGGCUGAAUGACCCCCUUCCAUGUGGGAGACUCGGGUUCAACUCCCAGCCAGAGCA